CCAGAAUGGAGCCAAGGGCCCAAGGGGAAUGGUAUAGAAGGAUUGGCUUCUUCCAGUCAGAAACCCCCUCCCACCCACCCAUCAUAAUGGGCUUAUCCUAAUAGGAACCCACCCCCACCACCACCAUGAUUGGCUUGUUCUAUUCGGGCCUCACCCAUGAUUAUAAUUGGUUUUAUCUUAAACUGGGCUUACCCAGCACCAAGCAUGGCUUAACCUAAGCAGGAUCUUCCCCACCCCAGACCUCUUCCAGGUUGGCUGGUCUUGUUGGUUUUGCUAUUUUCAAUGAUGUUUAAAUGCAUAAAGAAAUCCAAACAAUGGAACCAUUCUGAAGGGAACUGCUACACAGGAGGGGACAGUCAAGACUGAGGUCCAGCAUGAAUACCUGAACUAGGUGGAGAUCUGCUAGGAAAAGGAAAGGCCAUGGGGGUUUGAAGAAGGAACAAAAGGCUCUAGCUUCAAGAACCCAAAUUGCCAGACGCUAUGAGGCUUAACUUUUUUUUUUUUUUUUUUUUUUUUUGAGAUGGAGUUUCGCUCUUGUUGCCCAGGCUGGAGUGCAAUGGUGCGAUCUCAGUUCAUCACAACCUCCACCUCCCAGGUUCAAGAGAUUCUCCUGUC
This 615-nucleotide long non-coding RNA is filed under the name Homo sapiens (human). Its description in RNAcentral is "non-protein coding lnc-FAM50B-13:2". Lineage: Eukaryota; Metazoa; Chordata; Mammalia; Primates; Hominidae. The record is from RNAcentral.